UACGUAGGGAGCAAGCGUUGUCCGGAUUUACUGGGUGUAAAGGGUGCGUAGGCGGCUUUAUAAGUCAGAAGUGAAAUCCAUGGGCUUAACCCAUGAACUGCUUUUGAAACUGUAGAGCUUGAGUGGAGUAGAGGUAGGCGGAAUUCCCGGUGUAGCGGUGAAAUGCGUAGAGAUCGGGAGGAACACCAGUGGCGAAGGCGGCCUACUGGGCUUUAACUGACGCUGAGGCACGAAAGCGUGGGUAGCAAACAGG
RNAcentral lists this ribosomal RNA (253 nucleotides) under uncultured bacterium. Its description in RNAcentral is "partial 16S ribosomal RNA". It matches the Rfam family "Bacterial small subunit ribosomal RNA", at positions 524 to 776 of the family's 1533-position model. The record is from RNAcentral.